Molecule: ribosomal RNA, 381 nt
Filed under: Staphylococcus aureus
Lineage: Bacteria; Bacillati; Bacillota; Bacilli; Caryophanales; Staphylococcaceae
Description: partial 23S ribosomal RNA
Rfam family: Bacterial large subunit ribosomal RNA
Source: RNAcentral
CGAAACCAGGUGAUCUACCCUUGGUCAGGUUGAAGUUCAGGUAACACUGAAUGGAGGACCGAACCGACUUACGUUGAAAAGUGAGCGGAUGAACUGAGGGUAGCGGAGAAAUUCCAAUCGAACCUGGAGAUAGCUGGUUCUCUCCGAAAUAGCUUUAGGGCUAGCCUCAAGUGAUGAUUAUUGGAGGUAGAGCACUGUUUGGACGAGGGGCCCCUCUCGGGUUACCGAAUUCAGACAAACUCCGAAUGCCAAUUAAUUUAACUUGGGAGUCAGAACAUGGGUGAUAAGGUCCGUGUUCGAAAGGGAAACAGCCCAGACCACCAGCUAAGGUCCCAAAAUAUAUGUUAAGUGGAAAAGGAUGUGGCGUUGCCCAGACAACUA